Molecule: ribosomal RNA, 308 nt
Filed under: uncultured bacterium
Lineage: Bacteria
Description: partial 16S ribosomal RNA
Rfam family: Bacterial small subunit ribosomal RNA
Source: RNAcentral
GAGACAGCAGUAGCCGCGGUAAUACGGAGGGUGCAAGCGUUAAUCGGAAUUACUGGGCGUAAAGCGCACGCAGGCGGUCUGACAAGUCAGAUGUGAAAUCCCCGGGCUUAACCUGGGAACUGCAUUUGAAACUGUCAGGCUGGAGUCUUGUAGAGGGGGGUGGAAUUCCAGGUGUAGCGGUGAAAUGCGUAGAGAUCUGGAGGAAUACCGGUGGCGAAGGCGGCCCCCUGGACAAAGACUGACGCUCAGGUGCGAAAGCGUGGGGAGCAAACAGGAUUAGAUACCCGUGUAGUCCCUGUCUCUUAUAC